UCUGGUUGAUCCUGCCGGACCCGACUGCUAUCGGAGUGGGAUUAAGCCAUGCGAGUCGUACGUCCCCUAACUAUGUAGGGGACGUGGCGGACGGCUCAGUAGCACGUAGUCAACCUACCCUGGAGACGUGGAUAAUCCCGGGAAACUGGGAAUAAUCCACGAUAGGGCAAGAUUCCUGGAAUGGGUCUUGCCUGAAAGGGUUAAGCUAGCACGUUAGCUUAACCGCUCCAGGAUGGGACUGCGGCCGAUCAGGUUGUUGGUGGGGUAAUGGCCCACCAAGCCUAUAACCGGUGCGGGCUCUGAGAGGAGGAGCCCGGAGAUGGGCACUGAGACAAGGGCCCAGGCCCUACGGGGCGCAGCAGGCGCGAAACCUUCGCAAUGGGCGAAAGCCCGACGAGGCCACUCCGAGUGCCACCCGCUGAGGGUGGCUUUUCCCAGCUGUAAAUAGGCUGGGGAAUAAGGGGAGGGCAAGUCUGGUGUCAGCCGCCGCGGUAAUACCAGCUCCCCGAGUGGUCGGGACGAUUAUUUGGCCUAAAGCAUCCGUAGCCGGCCCGGUUGGUCCUCUGUUAAAUCCAACAGCUUAACUGUUGGGCUGCAGAGGAUACCGCCGGGCUAGGAGGCGGGAGAGGCCGACGGUAUUCCCGGGGUAGGGGUAAAAUCCUCUGAUCCCGGGAGGACCACCAGUGGCGAAGGCGGUCGGCCAGAACGCGCUCGACGGUGAGGGAUGAAAGCUGGGGGAGCGAACCGGAUUAGAUACCCGGGUAGUCCCAGCUGUAAACGAUGCGGGCUAGGUGAUGGAAUGGCUACGGGCCAUUCCAGUGCCGCAGGGAAGCCGUUAAGCCCGCCGCCUGGGGAGUACGGCCGCAAGGCUGAAACUUAAAGGAAUUGGCGGGGGAGCACCACAAGGGGUGAAGCCUGCGGUUCAAUUGGAGUCAACGCCGGGAACCUUACCGGGGGAGACAGCAGGGUGAAGGUCAGGCUGAAGACCUUACCAGACGAGCUGAGAGGAGGUGCAUGGCCGUCGCCAGCUCGUGCCGUGAGGUGUCCUGUUAAGUCAGGCAACGAGCGAGACCCCUGCCCCUAGUUGCCUACUGCUACCUUCGGGUAGCAUGGCUAACUAGGGGGACUGCCGCCGCUAAGGCGGAGGAAGGAGGGGGCCACGGCAGGUCAGUAUGCCCCGAAACCCCCGGGCCACACGCGGGCUGCAAUGGUAGGGACAAUGGGUUCCGACCCCGAAAGGGGGAGGCAAUCCCUAAACCCUACCCCAGUUAUGACUGAGGGCUGCAACCCGCCCUCACGAAUCUGGAAUCCCUAGUAACCGCGUGUCAACAUCGCGCGGUGAAUACGUCCCUGCUCCUUGCACACACUGCCCGUC
RNAcentral lists this ribosomal RNA (1375 nucleotides) under uncultured archaeon. Its description in RNAcentral is "bacterial SSU rRNA". It matches the Rfam family "Archaeal small subunit ribosomal RNA". The record is from RNAcentral.